RNAcentral lists this long non-coding RNA (608 nucleotides) under Ananas comosus (pineapple). RNAcentral describes it as "long non-coding RNA (ACOM_LNC024027)". The record is from RNAcentral. Lineage: Eukaryota; Viridiplantae; Streptophyta; Magnoliopsida; Poales; Bromeliaceae.
AUAAUUUUGUGUGGGCCAUUAGCAAAUUUUUUAUUUUAAGAGAGAUAAAUGCAAAAAAAGUCCUUUAACUUUCACCAAUAUUAUUAGGGAAAAACUUCAAAAACUUCUACUGUGAUUUUACAUUUUUUUAUUUUAGUACCCUAUAAUUUAAAGUGUAUCAAGUUAGUAUCCUGUGGUUUCUCACUUUAUCACUUUAGUACCAUAUGGUUUAAAGUGUAUCAAGUUAGUACCAUGUGGUUUUGCACUUUAUCACUUUAGUAUCCUGUGGUUUCACACUUUAUCACUUUAGUACCCUAUGGUUAAAAAAACCACUAGAUACUAACUUGAUACAAAAUUAAAACCACAGGGUACUUAAGUGAUAAAGUGCAAAACUAUAUGGUACUAACUUGAUACACUUUAAGCCAUAGAAUACUAAAGUGAUAAAGUGAGAAACCACAAGAUACUAACUUGAUACAUUUUAAACCACAGGGUACUAAAGUGAAAAAAAUUGAAACCACAAUGAAGGUUUUUAAAGUUUUCUCUAUUAUUAUUGAAACAAGCUUCUACUCUUUCUAAAUUCACAGUUCCUCCACAACUCCAUAUAUAACUUCUAAUCUGCAUUUUAAACC